This is a non-coding RNA of Callorhinus ursinus (northern fur seal), 365 nucleotides long. Lineage: Eukaryota; Metazoa; Chordata; Mammalia; Carnivora; Otariidae. The record is from RefSeq and is a predicted model, not a curated record.
CACGCCCAGCUGGCAGAUCUGGGUGCAGAAGGGGCAAGGGCACCCCCUGAGUGCAAGCCACCAGGUAGAGCUGGAAAAGACCCGUUGGGACGUCCCUGUCCUUGGCUGUGGGCCAGGAAUGAGGAAGAGAAGAAGGGCAGAGGUGGUGUGUCUGCUCCUCAAGGCUCAGGAAUAAGUGUGUGACAUCAUCUUGGUACCUCGACCAACAACACAGUCUCCUAACUUCCCGUGUUCAGAUUCUGGGCUCAACAAGCAACCUCGGAAGCUCAUCUGACUUCCCAAGAAAAUCUACCCACAGAGAGACUGUGGGCCGGGGCAGACAUGUCCCAGAGAAGAUAGAGGGUGGCAGAAAAGCAAGAGAAGGU